UGGGGAAUAUUGCACAAUGGGCGAAAGCCUGAUGCAGCAACGCCGCGUGAGGGAAGACGGUUUUCGGAUUGUAAACCUCUGUUUUCGGUGACGAACAAAUGACGGUAACCGAGUAGGAAGCCACGGCUAACUACGUGCCAGCAGCCGCGGUAAUACGUAGGUGGCAAGCGUUGUCCGGAUUUACUGGGUGUAAAGGGCGUGUAGCCGGGUCUGCAAGUCAGAUGUGAAAUCCAUGGGCUUAACCCAUGAACUGCAUUUGAAACUGUGGAUCUUGAGUGCUGGAGGGGCAAUCGGAAUUCCUAGUGUAGCGGUGAAAUGCGUAGAUAUUAGGAGGAACACCAGUGGCGAAGGCGGAUUGCUGGACAGUAACUGACGGUGAGGCGCGAAAGUGUGGGGAGCAAACAGGAUUAGAUACCCUGGUAGU
Molecule: ribosomal RNA, 424 nt
Filed under: uncultured Clostridium sp.
Lineage: Bacteria; Bacillati; Bacillota; Clostridia; Eubacteriales; Clostridiaceae
Description: bacterial SSU rRNA
Rfam family: Bacterial small subunit ribosomal RNA
Source: RNAcentral